AGCGAACGCUGGCGGUAGGCCUAAUACAUGCAAGUCGAACGGCAGCAUACUAAGAGCUUGCUCGUACGAGUGUCGAGUGGCGGAGGGGUGUGGAAUACAUCGGAACCUACUUUUUCGUGGGGGAUAACGUAGGGAAACUUACGCUAAUACCGCAAAUGACCUACGGGUGAAAGCAGGUGAUUUUCGGACGUUUUUCGUAUGAAUGAGCCGAUGUCGGAUUAGCUAGUUGGCGGGGUAAAGGCCCACCAAGGCGACGAUCCGUAGCUGAUCUGAGAGGAUGAUCAGCCACACUGGAACUGAGACACGGUCCAGACUCCUACGGGAGGCAGCAGUAGGGAAUAUUGCGCAAUGGGCGCAAGCCUGAUGCAGCAAUACCGCGUGAGUGAAGAAGGACUUCGGGUUGUAAAGCCCUUUUGUUAGGGAAGAAUGGCUGCGGAUUAAUAACACACUGUACUGACGGUACCUAAAGAGAAAGCAACGGCUAACUUCGUG
This 492-nucleotide ribosomal RNA is filed under the name uncultured bacterium. RNAcentral's name for it is "partial 16S ribosomal RNA". It matches the Rfam family "Bacterial small subunit ribosomal RNA", at positions 29 to 507 of the family's 1533-position model. The record is from RNAcentral.